RNAcentral lists this ribosomal RNA (840 nucleotides) under Zasmidium dasypogonis. RNAcentral's name for it is "eukaryotic LSU rRNA". It matches the Rfam family "Eukaryotic large subunit ribosomal RNA", at positions 68 to 942 of the family's 3401-position model. Lineage: Eukaryota; Fungi; Ascomycota; Dothideomycetes; Mycosphaerellales; Mycosphaerellaceae. The record is from RNAcentral.
ACAGGGAUUGCCCUAGUAACGGCGAGUGAAGCGGCAACAGCUCAAAUUUGAAACCUGGCGCUCGCGCCCGGAUUGUAAUUUGUAGAGGAUGCUUCUGGGCAGCGGCCGGUCUAAGUUCCUUGGAACAGGACGUCAUAGAGGGUGAGAAUCCCGUAUGCGACCGGCCCGCACCCUCCACGUAGCUCCUUCGACGAGUCGAGUUGUUUGGGAAUGCAGCUCUAAAUGGGAGGUAAAUUUCUUCUAAAGCUAAAUAUUGGCCAGAGACCGAUAGCGCACAAGUAGAGUGAUCGAAAGAUGAAAAGCACUUUGGAAAGAGAGUUAAAAAGCACGUGAAAUUGUUGAAAGGGAAGCGCUUGCAACCAGACUCCGCGGCGGUGUUCCGCCGGUCUUCUGACCGGUCCACUCGCCGCCGCGGGGCCAACAUCGUCUGGGGCCGCCGGAUAAGACCGGAGGAAUGUAGCUCAUUGAGUGUUAUAGCCUCCGGGGAUGCGGCGCGCCCCGGGCGAGGUCCGCGCCUCGGCAAGGAUGUUGGCGUAAUGGUUGCCAGCGGCCCGUCUUGAAACACGGACCAAGGAGUCUAACAUCUAUGCGAGUGUUCGGGUGUCAAACCCCUACGCGUAAUGAAAGUGAACGGAGGUGGGAACCGAACGGUGCACCAUCGACCGAUCCUGAUGUCCUCGGAUGGAUUUGAGUAAGAGCAUAGCUGUUGGGACCCGAAAGAUGGUGAACUAUGCCUGAAUAGGGUGAAGCCAGAGGAAACUCUGGUGGAGGCUCGCAGCGGUUCUGACGUGCAAAUCGAUCGUCAAAUUUGGGUAUAGGGGCGAAAGACUAAUCGAACCA